GACGAACGCUGGCGGCGUGCUUAACACAUGCAAGUCGAACGGAGUGGCGAACGGGUGAGUAACACGUGGGUGACCUGCCCUGCACUUCGGGAUAAGCCUGGGAAACUGGGUCUAAUACCGGCUAGUGUGGGAUGGGCCCGCGGCCUAUCAGCUGGUUGGUGGGGUAAUGGCCUACCAAGGGGGCGACGGGUAGCCGGCCUAAGAGGUGGGAAGGGCACAGUGGGACUGAGACACGGACCAGAGGCCUACGGGAGGCAGCUGUGGGGAAUAUGGCGCAACGAGGGGAAGCCUGAGGCAGCGACGCCGCGUGGGUGAGGAAGGUCGGCGGGUAAUAAACUCCUUUCACCGUCGAAGCGGUAGAUGGAGAAGAAGCACCGGCUAACUACGUGCCAGCAGCCGCGGUAAUUC
RNAcentral lists this ribosomal RNA (408 nucleotides) under uncultured bacterium. Its description in RNAcentral is "partial 16S ribosomal RNA". It matches the Rfam family "Bacterial small subunit ribosomal RNA", at positions 28 to 526 of the family's 1533-position model. The record is from RNAcentral.